UACGUGAGGGGCGAACGUUGUUCGGUGUCACUGGGCUUAAAGGGUGCGUAGGUGGUUGUGUAAGUAACGUGUGAAAUCCCUCGGCUUACCCGGGGAAUUGCAUGUUAUACUGCAUGACUUGAGGGCUAAAGGGGAAAAGGGAACUCCAGGUGUAGCGGUGAAAUGCGCAGAUAUCUGGGGGAAGGCCGGCGGCGAAGGCGCUUUUCUGGGUUAGUACCUGACACUGAGGCACGAAAGCGUGGGGAGCAAACAGG
This 254-nucleotide ribosomal RNA is filed under the name uncultured bacterium. Its description in RNAcentral is "partial 16S ribosomal RNA". It matches the Rfam family "Bacterial small subunit ribosomal RNA", at positions 524 to 776 of the family's 1533-position model. The record is from RNAcentral.